UACAGAGGGGGCAAGCGUUGUUCGGAAUUACUGGGCGUAAAGGGCGCGUAGGCGGCCUUCUAAGUCGAACGUGAAAGCCCCGGGCUUAACCUGGGAAUGGCGAUGGAUACUGGCUCGCUAGAGUGCGGUAGAGGAGAGUGGAAUUCCCGGUGUAGCAGUGAAAUGCGUAGAGAUCGGGAGGAACAUCAGUUGCGAAGGCGGCUCUCUGGACCAGCACUGACACUGAGGCACGAAAGCGUGGGGAGCAAACAGG
Molecule: ribosomal RNA, 253 nt
Filed under: uncultured bacterium
Lineage: Bacteria
Description: partial 16S ribosomal RNA
Rfam family: Bacterial small subunit ribosomal RNA
Source: RNAcentral